RNAcentral lists this ribosomal RNA (451 nucleotides) under uncultured bacterium. RNAcentral describes it as "partial 16S ribosomal RNA". It matches the Rfam family "Bacterial small subunit ribosomal RNA", at positions 354 to 796 of the family's 1533-position model. The record is from RNAcentral.
GUGGGGAAUAUUGGACAAUGGGGGGAACCCUGAUCCAGCCAUGCCGCGUGUGUGAAGAAGGCCUUUUGGUUGUAAAGCACUUUAAGCGAGGAGGAGGCUACCGAGAUUAAUACUCUUGGAUAGUGGACGUUACUCGCAGAAUAAGCACCGGCUAACUCUGUGCCAGCAGCCGCGGUAAUACAGAGGGUGCAAGCGUUAAUCGGAUUUACUGGGCGUAAAGCGCGCGUAGGUGGCCAAGUAAGUCAAAUGUGAAAUCCCCGAGCUUAACUUGGGAAUUGCAUUCGAUACUGGUUGGCUAGAGUAUGGGAGAGGAUGGUAGAAUUCCAGGUGUAGCGGUGAAAUGCGUAGAGAUCUGGAGGAAUACCGAUGGCGAAGGCAGCCAUCUGGCCUAAUACUGACACUGAGGUGCGAAAGCAUGGGGAGCAAACAGGAUUAGAUACCCUGGUAGUCC